Molecule: ribosomal RNA, 482 nt
Filed under: uncultured bacterium
Lineage: Bacteria
Description: bacterial SSU rRNA
Rfam family: Bacterial small subunit ribosomal RNA
Source: RNAcentral
UAGUCCACGCCCUAAACGAUGUAUGCUAGACGUCGGGAGACUUGUCUUUCGGUGUCGCCGCUAACGCAUUAAGCAUACCGCCUGGGGAGUACGGUCGCAAGAUUAAAACUCAAAGGAAUUGACGGGGGGCCCGCACAAGCGGUGGAGCAUGUGGUUUAAUUCGAUGCAACGCGAAGAACCUUACCAUCCCUUGACAUCCUCAGAAUGAUCUGUAAUCGAUCAGUGCCUUCGGGAACUGAGUGACAGGUGCUGCACGGCUGUCGUCAGCUCGUGUCGUGAGAUGUUGGGUUAAGUCCCGCAACGAGCGCAACCCCUAUCUAUAGUUGCCAGCACGUAAUGGUGGGAACUCUAUAGAGACUGCCGGUGAUAAGCCGGAGGAAGGUGGGGGACGACGUCAAGUCAUCAUGGGCCCUUACGGGGAUGGGGCUACACACGUGCUACAAUGGGUGCAUACAGAGGGGUUGCCAACCAGCGAUGGGGGA